Molecule: ribosomal RNA, 568 nt
Filed under: uncultured bacterium
Lineage: Bacteria
Description: bacterial SSU rRNA
Rfam family: Bacterial small subunit ribosomal RNA
Source: RNAcentral
AACGGAGCCUUAACCAAAGAAGCAGCCAGCUUCCCUGGAAGCGGAAAAGGGAAAGGCUUAGUGGCGGACGGGUGAGUAACGCGUGGGUAACCUGGCCCAUACAGGGGGAUAACACUUAGAAAUAGGUGCUAAUACCGCAUAACAACAGAAAGCGCAUGCUUUUUGUUUGAAAACCAAGGUGGUAUGGGAUGGACCCGCGUCUGAUUAGCUGGUUGGCGGGGUAAAGGCCCACCAAGGCGACGAUCAGUAGCCGGCCUGAGAGGGUGGACGGCCACAUUGGGACUGAGACACGGCCCAAACUCCUACGGGAGGCAGCAGUGGGGAAUAUUGCACAAUGGGGGAAACCCUGAUGCAGCGACGCCGCGUGAGUGAAGGAGUAAUUCGUUAUGUAAAGCUCUAUCAGCAGGGAAGAAAAUGACGGUACCUGAGUAAGAAGCCCCGGCUAACUACGUGCCAGCAGCCGCGGUAAUACGUAGGGGGCAAGCGUUAUCCGGAUUUACUGGGUGUAAAGGGAGCGUAGACGGCAGUGCAAGUCUGGAGUGAAAGGCGGGGGCUCAACCCCCGGACU